GUGGACGCUGGCGGUAGGCCUAACACAUGCAAGUCGAACGGCAGCACAGUAAGAGCUUGCUCUUACGGGUGGCGAGUGGCGGACGGGUGAGGAAUACAUCGGAAUCUACUUUUUCGUGGGGGAUAACGUAGGGAAACUUACGCUAAUACCGCAUACGACCUACGGGUGAAAGCAGGGGAUCUUCGGACCUUGCGCGAUUGAAUGAGCCGAUGUCGGAUUAGCUAGUUGGCGGGGUAAAGGCCCACCAAGGCGACGAUCCGUAGCUGGUCUGAGAGGAUGAUCAGCCACACUGGAACUGAGACACGGUCCAGACUCCUACGGGAGGCAGCAGUGGGGAAUAUUGGACAAUGGGCGCAAGCCUGAUCCAGCCAUACCGCGUGGGUGAAGAAGGCCUUCGGGUUGUAAAGCCUUUUUGUUGGGAAAGAAAAGCAGCAGGUUAAUACCCCGCUGUUCUGACGGUACCCAAAGAAUAAGCACCGGCUAACUUCGUG
Molecule: ribosomal RNA, 491 nt
Filed under: uncultured bacterium
Lineage: Bacteria
Description: partial 16S ribosomal RNA
Rfam family: Bacterial small subunit ribosomal RNA
Source: RNAcentral